UACGAAGGGAGCUAGCGUUGUUCGGAAUCACUGGGCGUAAAGCGUGCGUAGGCGGCUUCUCAAGUCAGGGGUGAAAUCCCACAGCUUAACUGUGGAACUGCCUUUGAAACUGAGAGGCUAGAAUGUGAGAGGGGAUGGCGGAAUUCCUAAUGUAGAGGUGAAAUUCGUAGAUAUUAGGAGGAACACCCGUGGCGAAAGCGGCCAUCUGGAUCACAAUUGACGCUGAUGUACGAAAGCGUGGGUAGCAAACGAGGAAUUA
Molecule: ribosomal RNA, 259 nt
Filed under: uncultured bacterium
Lineage: Bacteria
Description: partial 16S ribosomal RNA
Rfam family: Bacterial small subunit ribosomal RNA
Source: RNAcentral